UGAACGAGAAUCUCCCUUUCUCCAUCCUUGUGCACGAGCUUGAGGCAAUUCAAAGAGGAGUGAAAAGGGCCUCUCCAUCAUAGGCGGCCGAAGGUACCACCUUUUUUUGAAAACAACAACAGAAAGAUAAACUCACUCUUAAUAUAAAAAAUUUCUUGUCCAAGCCGUAAUCUUAUUACGAUACCACAAAAGAACUGACAACGAUUAACAUUUGUUCUCAUGAAGCAGUAACUAGUCUUUAGCACUCAUCUUUCUAUCAACGACUAUUAAGGAAUUCCUUCGCACUUAUGCUGCCUUUAUUCAACUCGCUCUUUUCCAAUUCCUUUUCAUAGAAAAUGUAUUCUUUCAAACUCGAUCAAAGAGCUUAUUCUUGCAGCGGCUUCUAGAGUUCUAGCUUUAAAUAAUUAGAGCCCUUUAUCAGUCCUUUCAAUCAGUUCUGAUUCGGUAAGCUACUUAGGAUGAAUCACACAA
Molecule: long non-coding RNA, 471 nt
Filed under: Carica papaya (papaya)
Lineage: Eukaryota; Viridiplantae; Streptophyta; Magnoliopsida; Brassicales; Caricaceae
Description: long non-coding RNA (CPAP_LNC001015)
Source: RNAcentral